This 402-nucleotide ribosomal RNA is filed under the name uncultured bacterium. Its description in RNAcentral is "bacterial SSU rRNA". It matches the Rfam family "Bacterial small subunit ribosomal RNA", at positions 358 to 774 of the family's 1533-position model. The record is from RNAcentral.
GGGAUAUUGGACAAUGGGGGGAACCCUGAUCCAGCGACGCCGCGUGAGUGAAGAAGUAUCUCGGUAUGUAAAGCUCUAUCAGCAGGGAAGAAAGAAAUGACGGUACCUGCAGAAGAAGCCCCGGCUAACUACGUGCCAGCAGCCGCGGUAAUACGUAGGGGGCAAGCGUUACCCGGAUUUACUGGGUGUAAAGGGAGCGUAGACGGCAGGGCAAGCCAGAAGUGAAAACGCAGAGCUUAACUUUGCGACUGCUUUUGGAACUGCCCAGCUAGAGUACAGGAGAGGUAAGUGGAAUUCCUAGUGUAGCGGUGAAAUGCGUAGAUAUUAGGAGGAACACCAGUGGCGAAGGCGGCUUACUGGACUGAGACUGACGUUGAGGCUCGAAAGCGUGGGGAGCAAACA